Molecule: microRNA precursor, 189 nt
Filed under: Oryza brachyantha (malo sina)
Lineage: Eukaryota; Viridiplantae; Streptophyta; Magnoliopsida; Poales; Poaceae
Description: MIR812 microRNA precursor family
Rfam family: MIR812 microRNA precursor family
Source: Rfam by way of RNAcentral
UAAAAGUUUAUUUUCCAGUUUUUAGAUACAAUACUAUUUGUCUUAUUUGAAAUUUUUUUGCGAUUAAUACUUUUAUUGUUACUAGAUGAUAAAAUAUGAAUAAUACUUUAUGUGUGAUGAUUUUUUUUUUAUUUUUUAUAAUUUUUUUAAAUAAGACGAAUGGCCUAAUCAUUGGGCAUAGAAAUUAAA